AAGGGAGCGUAGACGGCAAAGCAAGUCUGAAGUGAAAGCCCCGGGCUCAACCCGGGAAUUGCUUUGGAAACUGUUUAGCUAGAGUGCAGGAGAGGUAAGCGGAAUUCCUAGUGUAGCGGUGAAAUGCGUAGAUAUUAGGAGGAACACCGGCGGCGAAGGCGGCUUACUGGACUGUAACUGACGUUGAGGCUCGAAAGCGAGGGGAGCGAACGGGAUUAGAUACCCUGGUAGUCCACGCCGUAAAC
Molecule: ribosomal RNA, 245 nt
Filed under: uncultured bacterium
Lineage: Bacteria
Description: partial 16S ribosomal RNA
Rfam family: Bacterial small subunit ribosomal RNA
Source: RNAcentral